UACGGAGGAUGCAAGCGUUAUCCGGAAUGAUUGGGCGUAAAGGGUCCGCAGGUGGCAGUGUAAGUCUGCUGUCAAAGAAUGAGGCUUAACCUUAUCAAGGCAGUGGAAACUACACAGCUAGAGUACGGUCGGGGUAGAAGGAAUUCCUGGUGUAGCGGUGAAAUGCGUAGAGAUCAGGAAGAACACCGGUGGCGAAAGCGUUCUGCUAGACCUGUACUGACACUGAGGGACGAGAGCUAGGGGAGCGAAUGGG
RNAcentral lists this ribosomal RNA (253 nucleotides) under uncultured bacterium. RNAcentral describes it as "partial 16S ribosomal RNA". It matches the Rfam family "Bacterial small subunit ribosomal RNA", at positions 524 to 776 of the family's 1533-position model. The record is from RNAcentral.